Molecule: ribosomal RNA, 468 nt
Filed under: uncultured bacterium
Lineage: Bacteria
Description: partial 16S ribosomal RNA
Rfam family: Bacterial small subunit ribosomal RNA
Source: RNAcentral
GACGAACGCUGGCGGCGCGCCUAACACAUGCAAGUCGAACGGAGUCAAGAGGAGCUUGCUUUUCUUGACUUAGUGGCGCACGGGUGAGUAACGCGUGAGUAACCUGCCCUGGAGUGGGGGACAACAGUUGGAAACGACUGCUAAUACCGCAUAAGCCCACGGAUCUGCAUGGAUCUGCGGGAAAAGGAUUUAUUCGCUCUAGGAUGGACUCACGUCCAAUUAGCUAGUUGGUGAGGUAACGGCCCACCAAGGCGACGAUUGGUAGCCGGACUGAGAGGUUGAACGGCCACAUUGGGACUGAGACACAGCCCAGACUCCUACGGGAGGCAGCAGUGGGGGAUACUGCACAAUGGGGGAAACCCUGAUGCAGCGACGCCGCGUGGAGGAAGAAGGUUUUCGGAUUGUAAACUCCUGUCGUUAGGGACGAUAAUGACGGUACCUAACAAGAAAGCACCAGCUAACUACGUG